This 910-nucleotide small RNA is filed under the name uncultured Mortierella. RNAcentral's name for it is "eukaryotic LSU rRNA". The stretch from base 626 to 910 matches the Rfam family "Eukaryotic large subunit ribosomal RNA", at positions 1 to 281 of the family's 3401-position model. The record is from RNAcentral. Lineage: Eukaryota; Fungi; Mortierellomycota; Mortierellomycetes; Mortierellales; Mortierellaceae.
CUUGGUCAUUUAGAGGAAGUAAAAGUCGUAACAAGGUUUCCGUAGGUGAACCUGCGGAAGGAUCAUUCACAAACGAGUGUUUUAUGGCACUCUUUAAAAAUCCAUAUCCACCUUGUGUGCAAUGUUUGUUGGGAAAGUCUUUUCUUUCCCUUCAUAAAUAUCAACCCAUAUCUUUAACAACAUUCGUCUGAUAACAUAUUAUGAAUAUACUUAAUUCAAAAUAUAACUUUCAACAACGGAUCUCUUGGCUCUCGCAUCGAUGAAGAACGCAGCGAAAUGCGAUACGUAAUGUGAAUUGCAGAAUUCAGUGAAUCAUCGAAUCUUUGAACGCAUAUUGCGCUCUUUGGUAUUCCGAAGAGCAUGCUUGUUUGAGUAUCAGUAAACACCUCAACCUCUCUUUUUUGAUAAAAAAAAGGGAGGGUGGACUUGAGCUAUCCCAACGACCUUCACCGGUAGGCGGGCGGCUUGAAAUGCAGGUGCAGCUGGACUUUUAUCUGAGCUAAAAGCAUAUCUAUUUAGUCCUCGUCAAACAGGACUAUUACUUUUGCUGCAGCUAACAUAAAGGAUAAUUGUCCUCUUUGCUGACUGAUGCAGGAUUUUACGACACUUUAUGUGUUGUUCAACUCGAUCUCAAAUCAAGUAAGACUACCCGCUGAACUUAAGCAUAUCAAUAAGCGGAGGGAAAGAAACUAACAAGGAUUCCCCUAGUAACGGCGAGUGAAGCGGGAUGAGCUCAAAUUUGAAAUCUGGCUGGUUUACUAGUCCGAGUUGUAAUUUAAAGAAGCGUUUUCGGUGGCAGCCUGGGUAUAAAUCCUUUGGAAUAGGGUAUCAUAGAGGGUGAGAAUCCCGUCUUUGACCUAGUGCAUGCUACUAUGUGAUACGUUUUCAAAGAGUCGAGUUGUUUGGGAAU